Molecule: unclassified non-coding RNA, 2480 nt
Filed under: Amphibalanus amphitrite
Lineage: Eukaryota; Metazoa; Arthropoda; Thecostraca; Balanomorpha; Balanidae
Description: bEN domain-containing protein 4-like, transcript variant X1
Source: RNAcentral
CGGACGCAGUACUUUAGCAGGCCAUUUUGUCUGCGUUUUAGGGACAUCUGGCAACAAUGUUCGGUUUUCAGCAACCUUGAAUAAGUGAGCAUUUUGUGAAUGGUUGAUGUUUGUGACUGUUUGUAAGGUUGUAUUUUGGUGGUUCUGUCAAGUUCACAAGUUUGUGUCGAAUUCUCGCAAUCAGGAAGAUAAAUACUGUGCCCUAAUUGAUAUGGUUUAGUGCGGGUCGCGGUGCCAUCAUCUGAGCAUGUCCACCCUGGACUCGAGCGGCUCCUCGGGCUACCAGCACCCAGCGCACGCGCGGCCGGCGCCGCCCGCCGGUCCGCCCUGGUACAGCUCCGGACCGCCGCCGACACCGCCGUCACCCGUGCCCAGCAUGCCCUACUCUGGCCUGAUCCCCCCGGCGCGUGUACCUCACGUGGUCCGCGCCGGCGGCAGCGCCGGUCCGCCGCCGCCGGCCGCGCCGCCGCCGCCGCCGCCCGCCAGCAGUAGUCACAGUCACAGUCACGCGGCCGCCGCCCAGGAGGCCGUCCUCUGGCCCUACCGCGGCCACUGUGCCAGCUUCCACAACUUCUGCUACUACUUCUUGCAAAUCUUCUUCAUCGGCGCUGCCAUGUCGGGCGUGGCCCUGGUGCUCGCCGACGCGUUCUUCCGACAGCGCUGGCCUCACGUGCACGGUCUUCUCUUCAUCGGCGUACUUCUCGUCUUCGUCUCCGCCGUGAUGCUAUUCGUGCUGUGUCAGCGCGGCGCGGGGGUGCGCGGCGCGGCGGAGAAUCAUGUCGCCAAGGAGGGCGGCGCGCGCGUGCCGGAGGCGAUACCUCUCCGCGACGUGCCGGCGGUGUACGUGCAGCCGGGCCUGGCGACGCUGCGGAGACAGCAGCCGGGCGGCGGAGUGCCCGUACCGGAGCCGUACGCCGAGAGCGAGUAUAGUCACCCGUGGGAUCAGGUGACCGGCAUCAGUAGCAGGCCAGAUAUGAGUGAGGUCUGCUCCAUGGGAACCCUCAACAGCCGAGGGCGGCCGCCCGGACCCCGGCACUGGCAAUGACGUCAGACGUGACGUCAUACUCACACAGUACAGUGACGGCGUAUAGGGCGCAGUGACGUCACACAGGCGGCCUGUGACGUCACACGGACGGCACACAAUGCACCGGACCGUGGACGUCAUUCUUGUCAAGCACAGCGCUGUGACGUAAUACGUACGGCACUGUGACGUCAUAGAUGGUUUCCGUGACGUCAUAUCGGCCAGUUACACUGUGCGGCGCCCUCCCUCUCUCCUCAGAAGGGUUCCGUUCUGUUGCCAUCGGUGCUCUGUAGCCAUUGGGGGAGGGCUGAACGGCCAUAUUUGAGAUCUGCUGACGUGGGGUCGUCGGAAGGGUCACUCGGAUCUGAUGAGCUUUAUACGGGAGGCGUGAGCGAGCUUUUCUCAGAUAUUUAUGUGGAUUUAUUUGGUGGCACGUGCCGUGUUUAUGCCGUUGUUCCUUGCUGUGUUGUCGAAGAGCGUUUUAUACGUAAAACGGCUCUGCCAAAAGGGUGUUUUCUGUGUGUAUUUUGUUGUGACGUCAUGUAUGAAUGAUUCGUUGGGUAUUGUAUUCGAUACGUUUGCGCAGACGUGUUUGUGGUGUAUUCAGUGUUGCGCGAUUGUCUCCUAGGUUCACGUCAGUCCCGGUUAUAUUUGUGUAGGGACGUCGACCGCGGUGUUCGCUCCGCGCUCUGUGGGAAAUGGAGAUGGGCGCUGUGGUCCGGAGUCCCUUAAUCUGAUCACGAAGGUUGUUGAGGCCAGUACGAUCAUCUCUUCAGCUUGGACGUGACUGGACCCUGGAUCGUGGCCGUGUGCAAUGUCCCGCUCGACUGUCCGAUUGACAAUUUCUUUGGGUGUAUUCUGGGUGUAGCGGGUCGCGGCACACUUGUGGGUGCAGCCAGUGGGUGCAAGGGAGUGCCGAUAUGCCUCCAUAACACCGACGUGAACUAAAAGUGGGGGUUUUCGUGUCAAAUAGGUAUUGCACAAGGCACAAAUCUGUAACCACCGCAGUUGAAAGCAUCGCACAUUUCUUACCGCUGGCUGUUUUUGUCGAAAUGUUCGCGAAGCUGUGCUUCACGAGGUACUCACAAAUGUUAUCGAUUGAAGCUUAGGGUCAUUGCACAAUAGCGGGCUUAUGAGCGUAUUUGUGUUGAAUCAUAUCAAAACGGUGUUCUCUGAGGUUCUGCGCGUUUUGUAGCGGUGUGUGAACGUGCUAUGUGUUCGCUUGUGUCUCCUGCCGCGGCGGAUCUCGUUAGCGCUGAAUUGUCGGCAGAAUGUCGACGAAUUCGGCGCGUCUUGCCAACCGGUGCCGCUUGGCUUGACCUGUUCCUAAUGCUAGGUACGUAUGUGCGCGAGUAAUCGCUUUGGAGUUUGUGUGUGGAAUGCUAGGGUCACAUAUGUAUGAAUGUGUGUAUUUAAACUGGAUUAUAAUGCAGUAAUAAACGGAAUAUUUUAUCAAACA